Molecule: ribosomal RNA, 940 nt
Filed under: uncultured bacterium
Lineage: Bacteria
Description: bacterial SSU rRNA
Rfam family: Bacterial small subunit ribosomal RNA (bases 46-851)
Source: RNAcentral
GAUCUNACACGACGCGCNCUUUNUGCCUCUAGCAUUAGCGGUUGNAUUCUAUAGGAUCUCACGCUGGCCGCUCGUUGUGACAGCCUAAUACAUGCAAGUCGAGCGAACAGAGAAGGAGCUUGCUCCUUUGACGUUAGCGGCGGACGGGUGAGUAACACGUGGGCAACCUACCUUAUAGUUUGGGAUAACUCCGGGAAACCGGGGCUAAUACCGAAUAAUCUAUUUUACUUCAUGGUGAAAUACUGAAAGACGGUUUCGGCUGUCGCUAUAAGAUGGGCCCGCGGCGCACUAGCUAGUUGGUGAGGUAACGGCUCACCAAGGCGACGAUGCGUAGCCGACCUGAGAGGGUGAUCGGCCACACUGGGACUGAGACACGGCCCANACUCCUACGGGAGGCAGCAGUAGGGAAUCUUCCACAAUGGGCGAAAGCCUGAUGGAGCAACGCCGCGUGAGUGAAGAAGGUUUUCGGAUCGUAAAACUCUGUUGUAAGGGAAGAACAAGUACAGUAGUAACUGGCUGUACCUUGACGGUACCUUAUUAGAAAGCCACGGCUAACUACGUGCCAGCAGCCGCGGUAAUACGUAGGUGGCACGCGUUGUCCGGAACUUAUUGGGCGUAAAGCGCGCGCAGGCGGUCCUUUAAGUCUGAUGUUGAAAGCCCCGGGUUCAACCGGUGGGAGGGUCUUGGACACCUGGGGGGCAUUGCAGUCCGAGACGGCAAGUGGGAAUUCCCAAAGUGUUACGGGUGACAUGCNUAAGCAUUUGGACGAACCCAUUGAGAAAGGCNAUUUGGUCUGGACUGAGCUGAGACAACAGCNUGGGCGCACACGGUAAACCCGGAUCAACCCGAAACAANNAACAUUGGGGCCCCUAAGCGGCAAGCUACACCAGGAAGGCCAAAACAAAGGGCCCACGGAUGUACAAAACCNGNCAUACGAGNG